AUUGAACGCUGGCGGCAGGCCUAACACAUGCAAGUCGAACGGUAACAGGAAGAAGCUUGCUUCUUUGCUGACGAGUGGCGGACGGGUGAGUCAUGUCUGGGAAACUUCCUGAUGGAGGUGGCUCAGUACUAGAAACGUUAGUUAAUACCGCAUAACGUCGCAAGACCAGAAAGGGGGUCCUUCCUGCCUCUUGCCAUCUGAUGUGCCCAGAUGGGAUUAGCUAGUAGGUGGGGUAACGGCUCACCUAGGGGACGAUCCCUAGCUGGUCUGAGAGGAUGACCAGCCACACUGGAACUGAGACACGGUCCAGACUCCUACGGGAGGCAGCAGUGGGGAAUAUUGCACAAUGGGCGAAAGCCUGAUGCAGCAAUGCCGCGUGUAUGAAGAAGGCCUUCGGGUUGCAAAGUACUUUCAGCGGGGAGGAAGGGAGUAAAGUUAAUACCUUUGCUCAUUGACGUUACCCGCAGAAGAAGCACCGGCUAACUCCGUG
This 490-nucleotide ribosomal RNA is filed under the name uncultured bacterium. Its description in RNAcentral is "partial 16S ribosomal RNA". It matches the Rfam family "Bacterial small subunit ribosomal RNA", at positions 30 to 507 of the family's 1533-position model. The record is from RNAcentral.